GAAGCAAUGUGGUUUCUGCAGAUAACAUAGCAGCAACAGUCAAAGCCUGGGAUAAUCAGCCAUACUCAUUUGCCUCCACUUAGGUCUUUGACAGUGAAGGUUCUAGCGGAAGCUCCGAUAAAAAUCAAGGAAAUACUUGGCAGACUCAUCAAAGAUUUAAAAGGAAGAUGAUCAAUGUGUACAAAACCAAUGGGGAAUCACUUCUAACACUAAUAACAUAUAGUACAGGAACAAAAAGCCCAAGUAGGAAUGAGUUGCAAAACUUUUGUAAAUACAUAUCUGACACUUCAAUUACGGUCCAGCUAAGGUUAUGAAUGAUCUAUAAAAUUUUAAGACUCAAAGUAGCAUGCAAUAUUAAGAUUCAAGCAAUUGGCAAAAGAAUAACAGUGUAGGAAUUGCGUUACUAAAACCAAACUCUAGAAGGGUAUAUUUAUACCAGUCGAGAAGAGGACCUUUUAGAAUAGAAUCCUUAUUAAACUUGGAGAUUCAAAAGGAUAUCUAGCUAGGAAGUAGAUAUUGCAUAGUGUGAUUACUUGCGAGGCACACCAAUCCUUAGAUGGUAAGGACUCCAAGAUUGGGAAACAUGAUUCCUUGCAAGAUUAAGUUUUCGUAUCUUGCGGAACAAGCAUGAUCAAUCUUAGUGAAAUCGUUGGACUUUGCCCGCUGAUUCCAGAAUAGGAUGAUGGUGGCAUCGUUGAUUUAUUUAUUCAACUCCGUACUGGAGGCUGUUAAGUCCAUGACUAGACUUUUGAGGUAUGCGUAUUCUGAGCCACCUUACUCUGCUAUGGAAAAUCAUGGUCCCACAACCUCUCAAUUAGAUUGAGGCGUUCACUCUAUGAUUGAAGCAAUUAUGACGAAUGUGAAAUAACCAUCUGAGUGAGUAUUUGAUAAAGGUUAUGUGAACAACUAAUUAUGUCCAUGCGUGUUCAUUAAGAAGUCACAUUCUGGUUUUGACAAUCAUCAUCUUAGCUAAUAGUUAAUAGGUAUGUAAAUUUUUUAAUUUUGGGAUGAAAGAAUUCAAUUUUUAAGAAUUUUGGGAACAAAAGAAUCGCUUUUAAUUCUUUUGAAAUGUAAAUUUUGAUUUUUGUGUUACAAAUUUAGUUUUUUUAGGAAAACCUCAUUUUGAAAGUAUAUUAAUUCUUUCAUAUUAACUUUUUGUUAUAAUUAUUAGAAGUUUAUACCUAUUGCUAUAAUUUUAUGUGGGAUCUAAAUUUUCAUUAUUUUUUCAAAUUUCCCCUUCUUUAUUACCAUCGGUAUCAGGACUACUUGUACAAAAUUAUUAAAACACGUGACAGCAAAUUUCAUAUGAGAACAAGAGAAAAAAAAAAAUCAAAUAUCUCCGUAAAUAUAAAUAUUAUUCACAUAAUAAUGUCAACAAUGAGUGUUGUCCUGUAUCCUAAAACCCUCGGGCAUAAUGUUACAGUAUGCAAGUUAAAGAGGAAAAAAAAAAACCAAAUAAGCUGAUAAAUUAAAUAGGAUAAAUCUCAGUUUACUACCUUCAAGUUUCGUGUUUUUUAACAUUUAGUCCAUGAAGUUUUUUUCGUCCAGCGUCAUACGUAAAGUGUUAAUUUUGGGACAGUCUCAUACAUCUGUUAGUUUAAUUGUUAAGUCUCCAAUUAACUGAGGAUGCUCAUGUAGAUAAUAACUGAACGACACCUGUCAUUAAGGAUUCACUUGGAAAUUAAAAAUUCAAAAAAAAAAUUCUCUCUAAAAAAUAUUAAAAUAAAUAAAUAAAUAAAUAAAAAACCCGAACCCCAACGUCUUCCCCGCCCGACACAACUCCAUCCCCUCCACACCUCCAUGUCUCCACCCCUCCAUCCCCUCCACCCACCGACACCCUUCCCUUUCCCUGAUACCCACCCCUAACACCAAGCUUUUUCUCCUUCCCCAAAAACUCAGCCCCUUCCCUUCCUCCAAAAAUAAGUCUCACUAAUCAAACAGCCAACCUGUCGAGCUCAUACUAAAAAAACACUAACUAAUCAACACAAAACAAACCCCACAAUUAAUCUAUAUACUAAGCAACAUAGAAGAGCCAAAAGAUUCAACAUUUAGCAGAAAUUACAUAAACCCAGAAAGCAAACAACCAAAAGAACAAACAAAACACAAACUUUAGCAAAUUGAGCAAAAUCCAUGAAUACCCAGAAACCCCAAAAACUCAAAAGUGAAACUAAACGAUUACAUAGAGAGAAAGAGAGAGAUACCAGAUAGGGACAUGACUACGAGCUGCUCGGGCUUAGGAAUACAUUCGUUGUGCACUUUGAUUGUGAUGCUGCUGCAGGUCCCUGAGACCUAUCCGAGAUUGUAGAACUGGCGGCAGAGGUCGGAUAUCAGAACCUUGGUGUCGCUCACUGCUUUGCCUUCCAAGUAGGCCUGCGACGUCAUACCGAGUUUCAGUUCGUUCACUGCCACUGGUGCCAUUGCUGGUCUAGAGAAAGAAACUGUGAACCUGUGAUUGGUGUACUUCAAUACUAGGCUAAAAUAAACUGUGAACCUCCGCUUUUGUAUCCGAAUACACUUUCGGACCGAUUCGAGCGCGAGGUUGACAUUGCGGGAUCUGUUUUAGGCUUCAACGAAGGCGUCGAGGGAGGAUAGAAGAGGGAGGUCGACAGACUGGAGCUUGGUGUUGGAAUCGGACAGAGAAGACUUGAGAGAAUCGACGUCGGAGAGAACAGAUCGGAGUCCGUCGACGGCGAGGAUAAAAUCUUGGUAGUGGACCUUGCAGACCUCCUCGAUUUUGGACUUCUUGGAUCCGGCGAAGUGGUAGAGGUGCUGGAGCGGCGUCUCGGGCUUCCCGGAAGUGAAAGCCUUGCGAACAUUUGUGGUUUUUUUGCUGUUUGUCGCAGAGGAGAAAACGGAAGGAUGGAAUUUUGGGGUUUUGGGGGAAGGGAAGGGGCUGGGUUUUUGGGGAAGGAGAAAAGGCUUGGUGGUAGGGGUGGGUAUCAGGGAAGGGGAAGGGUGUUGGUGGGUGGGAGGAGUGUCGGCUGGGGGAAGACGAAGGGGGUUUUGGGUUUUUUUUUAAUUUUUUUAAUUUUUUUAAUAUUUUAAAUUUGGGAGAGAAAUUUUUUUUUAUUUUUAAAUUUUCACGUGGACCUCUUAAUGACACCGGCGCCUAGUUAUUGUCCACAUGAGCGCCACAUCAUCAGUUAACGGAAGAUUUAAUAGCCAGAUUAAUGAAUGUAUAAGACUGUUCCAAAAUUAACAAUUUCGGUAUGACUCUGAAACAAAAAGUACUUAUGUAUUAAAUGUUGAAAACUACUAAACUAAGGGUAGUAAACUGAAAUUUACCCAAUUAAAUAUUUUAGGCUUUUUAGCCAAAAUGAUCCAUGAAAUUUGCAUGACACAUAACUUUGGUCUCUGAGAUUGAAAAUCAAUAGAAAUGGUCCCUGAGAUUGUCCACCAUCUAUUAUUUUUGUCAUUUCAUUAAAAAACUCCGUUAAGUGGUCUCGAAGCUCGUAUCAGAAACUGAAAUUUUUUGCCAGAUGUUUGGGCAAUUUUCAAAGCUUCGUAACUCAAUCGUUUUUUAACCAAAUUCGACUCAUAAUAUAUCAUAAUGAAGAUAAGAAAGUGUAGAACAAGAUUAUACAUAUUUGGAAGGCCAAUGGUUGCUGCAGAUGGUCGGAAAAUAGCCUGAAAUGUGACUAGUCCGAGGGAAAACUGGGAAAUUCGCCGGAAACUGGGUAAAUUUUAAACAUUCAUAACUUAUUCAAUACUCAAUGAAAUCGAGUGAUUCAACUAAAAAUCAUACUUCUCAACGAGACGAAGAAAAUAAUACAUUUUUCAACGGCUAAAACAUUUCUUUUUUACGCUUUCUUAUCUUAAGAUAUUUCUAGUUAAAGAGAAACAUCCUUCCUAAAUGCAAAUCUAACCUUUCUCUUAUCUACGAUAGCACCAGACACGACCCAUGUCAUUGUGCCUGCUCUGAUCUUGACUUAUUAUAGUAAAAAAUUACUAGUAAAAAAGAAAGUAUGAACUUGUGACUGUUUGCCGUGGUUUGGCAAGAAAACGGCUCGAAAGUGGCUAACUCAACGAGACAAAGAUAACCACUUUCGAACAAUUUUUUGGAAAAACCACUGUGAUUUAGCGUCGAGAAAGCUACCAUUUUCUUCGUCUCAUUGAGAAGUAUGAUUUUCAUCUUUGAAUCACUUGAUUUCAUUGAGUAUUAAAGAAGUUAUGAACGUUUAAAGUUUACCCAGUUUCAGACGAGUUUUCCAGUUUUUUCUCAGAUCAGUCACAUUUCAGGCUAUUUUCAGGCCAUCUCCUACAACUAUUAGGCUUCUAAAUAGGUAUAAUCUUGUUCAGGCCAUAUCUUCAUUUUGAUAUAUUAUGGGUCGAAUUUGGUUAAGAAACGAUUGAGUUAUGAAUCUUUGAAAAUUGCCUAAACUUUCGGUCAAAAAUCUCUGUUUCCGGUAUGAGCUCCGGGACCACUUAACGGAGUUUUUAACGGAAUGACCAAAAUAAUGGAUGGUGGAUAAUCUCAGGGACCAUUUAUAUUGAUUUUCAAUCUCAAUGACCAAAUUUAUGUGUUAUGUAAAUUUCAUACAUGUGACAAUAAACAUACAUGUGACCAACGUAGCGUUGCGUGUGGACAAUAAACAUACAUGUGACCAACGUGUCGAUGCAUCAACUAACACCAUAAAGUAUCUAAAUGGUCCGCAUGUUGGUCAGAUAGGUCCACAAAUAUCCUAUUGAAUCCUCUGAAGAAACUUAGGAGGGCUGUGAAUAAUCUUUGUAAUUGAGGGUUAAGUAUUCAACUUCCCCAAAGAACAAGCCUAGCAAGGUAGAAAUCCAACGUAGGGAGGUAAAUGAUGCCCAUGUGAUAAUUUGAAGAUACGACGCAUCAUGUCACGUCUAGGAUGUCCCAUAUAGUCAUGCCAAAGCAGCAAAGUGUUCUAGAACACAUGCAUAGGGUCGGUCACAGAGUGGGCUUCUAUGUCGCAAAUGGUUGUAAUGUACAACCCACUCGUGAGACGUUCCAACUUUUCAUGAAUACGUUUUUUGCCAUACUCAUAAGAAAUGAUACAAAGAAAUUCAAAACCAUUAUCUUCAGUAGUUUCAACAUGAUAUUGAUUAUCUCGAAUAUCUCUAAAGCUCAGCAACAUUCUUCCGGAACGUGGAGAAUAGAGAGCCUCUUUAAUAGUUAAGACAAUACCAAUGGACAACAUUAUACAAGCCUUUCCGUAUCCUUCCAUCAGGUUGGAUAAGCUUGAGAGGGUUGUCAAAUGUGCAUUUUUAGGUACGAAAUUAGUAAAAUAGUGUCGUUCACGCAAUAUAGUGUGUGUGGUAGCACUAUUAUCCAGACAACUAACUUCCCCACUAGUCAUACCUAGGAAUAAAUUAAUUGAAUUGGUCACAUGCAUAAAUAUAAUUCCAUUCAUUCAAUUAAUCAAUCGAGAAAUGAUAUCCAUAAUUCAAAACAAACCAAACCAAACAAAUGAUUCCAAAGACCUAGAAAAAUUGUCCAAUAAAAAAAUUGGGGGGUUCGGCCACUCCUAGUGGUUCAGCCACUAGGGGUAAAAACACCUUAAAGACAUGUCUAGAAAAAUAAAACUUUAUUCUUCCAUAGGAGCGGAUGCCUCAUGAAAAUCUGAUAUCUCUAUGGAUGUAGUAGUAUCUUCGGGAUGUUCCACAUGGGCAAAGUUAGACUCACAACAGGAAUGAUACUUGGCAAUGUCUUUGGGCGUAGCUCGACAUAUGGGUGACCAAUGAUCAUUUGAUCCACAGUAGUAGCACAUGUCUAGUUCAGUGGAAGCCGAUUGAACGGUAGAUUUUCCCUUGUUCUUGAAGUUUGGGGCCUUAAGGGUAAGGGUUUGGCAUUUAUGGGUCAAAUUGCUUCUUUUGGGUGGGCCAUGGCAUAGUGGACCUUGGACCCGUGGGUGGGCUUUCCGCCUAUUACCACGGCCACGAUGGUGUUUUCGUCGUUUAUGGCUGCUAGAAUUAGUCGCAUGCACUUCAAGCGAAAUGUUCGAGCUAGUAGGUCAGGCUUGAUGAUUCUUCAUGAAAAGUUGGUUAUGCUUUUCAGCGAUAAGUAAAACAAAGAUCAAAUCUGAAAUUUUGGUGAACUUCUAUGCCCUAUAUUAUUACUGCAAGAGAAUAUUGGUAGCAUUGAAGGUCGAAUAGGUAUUCUCUAGGAGAACCUCAUCUGUUAAGUCCACUUUACAGAGCUUAAGUAGUGAUCGGAUUCUACAAACUUCAGAGUUGUAUUCAUUCACGGACUUAAAGUCUUGGAAACGUAAAUGAUGACAGUUGUGUCUUGCUUCAGGUAAGUAAAUAUAUUUCUGGUGAUCGAAAUGAUAGGCCAGAGCAAGCCAGAUGGUGCGUGGAUCCUCUUCAGCAAGGUACUCGGUCUGUCGUGCAUUAUGGAUGUGUCUUCAAAUGAAGAUCAUAGCAGUAGCUUUGUCAGCUUCAUUAACGAGUUCCUUAAUGGUGGCUCUAAUACCAUUUGCGGUGAGAUGGAGCUUUAAGUUCAACAUCAGUGAAAUCAAGCUUGUUUAAGUUCGAUAUGUCCCUAAAACAGAGGGUACAAAAAUGUGGUUAGUCAUAUGGAAAAUCAUAGACAUACAUCAUAGAACAUUCGGGUUCUAUAGACAUGUAUAUGUUUAAUUUAAGCAUGAAAGCUACAGGUUUUAUGUGGUCAGUUUUGAAUGAAAACUUCGGAUUUCAAAGGCACUAUAUAUGAAACAACAGGUUUGAUUUAGUUUUAUGAAUGAUUAGUUCAUAAAGGAGAGGUUUCUGCAAGAACACAUAAUGCAUUAUGCUGAUUGAAGUGUAGUAGAUUUGGGUUGCUUCGGGAACUCAUGUGUGAGAGUUUUGAGACAACGAAAUGAUGCUAAUGGUUCAAAGUAUAAUAAAAAUUAUUGAAUCGUUAAUAUCCAAAAGUGAUCUUCAGGUUAAUAAUUGGAUUAAUUAUCAGAUUAAUGGACUGUUGGUCACUUUUAAUUAAUUCAAUAGGUCAGGACCAAAAGGGGUCGAUUGUGGAAGUAAAAUAAUGACAGACGGGUCAUAUUAGCUUCAGUUGGCGAUAAAUCAAGUGAUAAUUAAAUUAGAAUUAAUUAACGUAAAUCAAAGUACCCCAAACAAAUAUUGGGUAUGAUUUAUAAUGCAGGGAUGCCAAAACUUGGCAUUUGGUUGAAAAAAAAAUAAUGCGGCCUAACUAAAAGUGGAUUGGCUGCGAUGUGGGGACGGACCUUGCAUCAUGACUGCAGGUCAUUAGGCCGUGGAAAAGCUGCAUGCUUCUGGCCGUGUGGUCUGGGUGAGCCCAGCAGCAAAAGUUACUGGUUUGGGCCAAAAACAAGGCACGGGGCAAGCCCAUCCUAAAGUUGGCUUGAGGGUUAGUGCGAGGAAGGCCCAGCCGAGGCUGGUUCCUGAGUUUUUGGGUCAGGGUAAGUCAAGCCUAGUAGUAUAAGCUACGGGCAAGUGGGUCGAGACUUGGGCAAAGCUUAGCAAACGAUACGGGCCUGCUGCAGGCGAGCCUGGGGCACAGGGUCGACCUAGCAAGCUACGGGCUUGCUGCAGGUUUGGGCCAUGGACUUAGGACAAAGCCCAUCAACUCAAAAGUUGUUGGUUUUGGGCUUGGAUGGGUUGCAGGCCCAUGGUAACCCAUACCAGGCCGAAUCCUGGUGUCUGUGUAGGCGCAGCAAAGCCCAAAGGGCUGCUGCCAUAGUCCAGAUGUCAUUCUAAUAGUGUGCUCCAUGCGGCUGGGCUGCAGGCCAGCUACGGUGAUGUCGGCAGCAAUGUGACAGCGAGCCGCAGCCAUGCCGCAUAUUUGCCAAUUUUUUUUUUUUCAACAUCACUAGGGUUUGAAAAACCCUAAAUUGCUUCUAAUUUAUUUAUAUGCUUUGACUCACAAAUUCCACAUGGCAAAAUAAUAAUUGUGUAAUACAUGAAGCAUGUGUGUGUGUAUAUAUAUAUAUAUCAGAAGGAAAAUAUAAAUAUAGGGGAUUCAUACUUCAUGGACGUUUCAAAUAUCUUACUUUAUUUUAAGCGUACCUGAUUGAUAUAAAACAAAUAAAAGUCUUUGAAUUUUGUACAAGAAGGCCUCCUCUUACAAUUCUUCAAUUUUUUAACUUUUGGCAAGAGUUUGCUGACAACGUGUUGUAGGCCUAAUUGACUAAACUAUUUUAAAGGAAUAGACAUGGGAGGCCGGCGGCAAAAGGGGAAGAAGAGAGAUUUAAUUGUGAGGUGUGUUGUAUUUUACCCCAUUGUGCCUUUAUUUAUAGUAGUAUGAUAGGUUAAAUCCUUAACAUAAUAGAAUUAUAACUCUAAUAGGAUGAUAUCUACUAAAGAGAAUAUUUCAAGAUAUCCCUAGAUACAGUAAGAUUUACACAAUCACAUUCAUAUUCUAAGUAUUAUUGCAACAAUAUUCUGUUUAUUAGUAUUUCUUUAGUGGGUAAGUUAUAACUAUGGUUUCCGCCACUAACACAACAAAAGAAAUUAAGAAUUUCGGGAUAUUUUCUCUCUCUAACAACUUAAUAUUCUAGAUUUGUCUUCAUAGCAUUUUGUUUCCCUUGACGCUAUUACAAAUUUGUCCCCUAGCAUUUUCCUUGUGUCAAUUUUUUUAAAGGAAGAGAUGGGACCUUUAUAGUCGUUACCAAAAGAAAAAAGCUCUUGUGUCAGUGAUAAUAAAAAAUAAAAGUAAUGAUAUGGAGAUUAAAUUAGUAGAUAAAAUUUACAAACUAAAUGAUAUGUCACAAUAGGCAUGAACACAUUUAUGAACGUUUAAGUCGUACUCGUAAUACAAUCAUUAACUUUCAUGUUAUUAAUUUAUAAAAUUUUGUCUACAAAUUUAUUCUCCUUAACAUUACCAAAAAAAAUUGUUGCAUCAUUUGGGUUGGAUGCUACUUGGCCGCUAACACCAUACUGCUAAGACCAUACCGCUAAGACCAUCUCUAAAUGAGAUGUCAAAUCCUAAGUAAAAUGCUAUGUAAUCAAAUUUGAAAGCAUGAAUAAAAUUCAACUGAUAUGUUAAUCUCAUGUGGAUUGUCAUAUGAAUUUUCAUAUGUCAAAUUUGAUAUAGGAGAAAAUGUGAUGACAAAUAAAUUUUUAAUUAUUUUAUUGUGUAUGUCCUAUUAAUGCACCAAUUAUAAUUCUAAAGAGUUUAUUUUAAUCGAAAAAUGGAUCCUACAAAUAUCAUGUAUAACAAAAAAAACAUAUAGGUCAGAGGAAGAGAAAAUUUGCAUGUAGCUUUUCCACCGGGCAAGAUGCCUAAUAUUUACAACGCUCUGGUAGAUGCUAUUUUAUUGGUAAACAAAUUAGUGUGACUUGUGAAGUACAGAGGAAAGAUCGAUCAUCCGAAUCUGACAGUCCAAGUUUUUGAUUGGAAGAAAAAAUCGACCAAACAUUUCUUAUGUACCAUGACAUUCCAAGUUUUUGAUUGGAAGAAGAAAUCGACCAACCAUGACAUUCCAAGUUUUUGAUUGAAGAAAUCGGCCAAACAUUUCUUAUGUACCAUAAACGCUUUUACUCUUUAUCUUUUGUUAUGAAAGAGAGUACAAGAUUCGAUGCUUUCUUGUAAAAGUUUUGAGGGCAAUUUCUCAUAUCCACCUCAGGAACAACUUUCCAAUGGUUCACAUACUACCGGUAUAAAAACGAACGCGAAGUCCAAACCCUACAUACACCACUCAACCGCUCCUAACGGCCACCUCAACUCACAUUUCUCAUUCUCUCCUGCUGCUCCCAGCUGCCUCUUUUGACGAGCAAUAUGGCGAAUGAUGAAAAUCAAAACCCUCCUCCAAAUUCAGCUCCAAAUCCGCAACCACAUCUAACAGAGACUUUGACCAUCCUCUUGGCCUUAGCUGCCAUUCUGUUUGCCCUCGGGUUGAAUCCGAGCUACUUUGUCAAACCUCCCUCCGCCGAUGCAGCUAGUUGUGAAUGCAAACUGAAUAACUGCCUAUGCCUUCCCCCUUUCUACAUUUUCUCUGUCGUGGCCACGACAGCGCUGUCUGUUGUUUGGUUUGGACUUUUUGUCCUCUCCACCCGACUUCAAUACCGCUUCGGUAUCUAGGUAGGGCUUGGCUUAGUGUGGGCUACCUAUUGGCUCGCGCUGCGUGGCAUCCUUGCACCCCAAUUUUAUAAUCCACUGGUUUAUUUCUUCAAUCCUUUUCUGACGGUCAUAUUGUUGUUUAAGCUAAGAUUUCGAAAUAUCUGGGACCGCAGGAUCCAUGUCAUAGCUGACAACUGCGGCAGGUUUUGGAACUAUAUCACAGGAAACUACUAACAUUUGGGUAUUUGUCUGUUCAUACUUUUUUUUUAUAAUCUUUAUUUUUAUUUUUUUCAAAUGAUAGAUACGUUAGAUUAGAUGUUAGAUUUAUGAGAUUAACGGGAUUCAAACUCAUACAGCCCUCACCGACUAUGUUGCUAAAAAAAAAAUUUCACGAGAAGACUUCAAAUGAGCUCUUUUGCCGCCGGGAUGCCCACAAAAAAAAUCAAUGAGAAAAUUGUCUUUAAUGGCCUUUCAUCCAAGUUGAUUACACUAUUAUCCACAGAUUUCAUACCAUAUUGAAAGAAAGAAGCAUCAUCAUUGUCUAUUUCACAUAAUCUAUGUGAUGUAAUUCUUAACUUUUUUUUUUCAAAAAUUAUUUUAAGCAGAAAAGAAACCAUAUAUAAAACCAGUUAGUAUCAUACCUAUUUAAUAUCUCAUCUUCACUAAACGUUUGAGUAUCUUAUUAAUAAUUAUUUUCUCUUCCAAUGUUAUUUUUAGAUCAGUAGAAAGAUGGAGAGAGAGAGAGAGAAGAGAGAGAGAGAGAGAGAGCUAGUUAUCAGCAAAAUGCCUGGUCCAUUCCUCUUCUUUUGAAUGUAUUAGAAUUAAAAUAGUCUUCUUUUCCUACUAGCUACUUUUUUAUAUUCUCCAUGCAAGACUUGUUAUAUUUAUUCGGUGGUGUGUAAUUUUAAUAUUAUAGAUCUCUCGAUGUAGGACUUGUUAUAUUUAUUUGGUGGUGUGUAAUUUUAAUAUUUUUGAACUCUAUAUAUGAGCUGCUAUGUUUAUUUGGUCAAGAAUGUAAUUUUAUUUUUAAUACUUGUGUAAGUGUAAUAUUUAUCUCUCGUUAAAUAUACAUAAUAUUGUUGUGUAAAAAUAAUCAUCAUAUAUCAUAAUCCGAUCAUGCUUAAACGUUCUUAUUUCUUAUUAAAGAAUAAUGACACAUUUUUAUCCAAUGAUUUGAACCCCCCUCUAAUAAAAUAAGGCCCACAACAUGGACUGUUCUACUAAACUGCCGCAAUUCAAACCCAGAAAAGAAAAGUUAGGCUCCCAUCCCACCACCACCAUCUCCAAAUUCCGGCGAACAGAUAACUCAGCAAAAUUCUCUGCACUAAAAAUGGACUGUUCUACUAAAUCCUCUCCCAAAUACCCAUGAAACCGAUGGUUAACGCGAGCGCGAGUUCGAAGCCUUGACCUCCUUUUUAUUCUUCGCGUUCUCCAUGGUUUCUUCUCUGAACGCUCGAAGGUCUGCAACUGCAAGCGAUUUUUACAAGGAUUUGCACAGUAAUCCCUUCAUCAUUUUCAGGUGGGUCGCCGCCGCCGAUGCCUGAUUCAAGAAGUUCAGGUUCGAAAACGGUGCUCUCCUGAAUUAAUUUCAUCGAUUUUGUUCCCAAUCUUGUAAAUUUGUUUAAUUUGUGAUUGAAUGAUUGGGUUCGGAAUCAUUACCCUCUGCAAAUUUGUAAAUUUAUUCUAUCUAUUUCAUUCGCACUGCUGUAAACCACGGGGAGGCCACUCGGAGGUGGUUCAACAGCCAGGUAACCGCAAAGUGAAGGCUCAGCCCCAGGAUGAGGUGCUUUGAAUUAUGCAAUUCAAUGGAGAAAGCUCCCGUUUGGAUUUUCAAUUAAUUAUUUAAUCAAUCAUUUUUUCUUUGUUUUGUGUUUUUUGUUUGGAUUGUUGGUUUGUGAAUUUUUGAAGGGAAAUUGGCUGAUGUUGUUCUUAGAUUUGUCUUUGUGGAGCCCUAUGUGGUAAAUAUAUUUGUUUUUUGGUUCGCAUCCGCCAUCUUGUCGUUGGUGUUCCUGAUCCAAGGAGAGAGAGUGAUGCUCGAGGAGCGCUCACGUUUUGUACGAUUGGUUUUUUAAUUUUUAAUUUUUAAUUUUUUUAACAAAGUGAAGGAGAUAACAACAGUUCAACACUGUUAAAAUGGUGGACAGAUGUCACAAAACUAUUAAAGCCACAGUGAGGCCACACCUAUUUGGGUGCAGAAAAUUUGAACUCAGAUAAUACAAAUACGUGUAAGAGUAGUAUUUUUGCUUGUUAAACGGUUGCUUGUUUAUCCUACUUUUCCUUACGAUUUCUUGUGUAUCCUACUUUUCCUUGCAAGCAAGAGUGCUGUCUCAUGUCUAGCAUUCGCAAUGUCGCAUUUUGCUCCUAAAGAAAUCAAAGGAGUGCAUCCAUCGGCAUCAGAAGCACAUCAGAGACCCUGCUUAUCAAUGUAUGAACAAAAUCUGCGGGGCCGUGUUGUGCUGCCUGAUGUAGAGUCCCAUAAAACUCAACAGGACUAUCAAGUACCUUUUGAGGUGCAGCAUUCUUAAGCAACAACUUUCAAAUUCUCACAGUUUUGAUUUGUAUCGAGUAUUUCCAUUACCGUCUGACCAAGUUUAUUCUACACGUUUAUGUCAAUGAAGGCUCAUUGGGGGCAGAUGCCCCCACUCACUCAAGUAAUUCGUUUGUCUAGUUGUAGACUACAAUUAUAUAAUAUACACAGGGUUAUCUUUGAAGAAAAUAUAUCUAUCUAAUAUCCAACAUAUAUUCAUUCUACUUGUACUCCAUAUAUGAGCAAUAGUGCUCUUGUUCUGUCAUUCAAACAAAAAAACCCUCUCCCGCUUAUCAUGUACGUAUAUUUUUCUCAUCACUUUGCCACUUUCCACUACUAUAUUGAAAUUUUUGUAACAUUGGAAUUAUGAUACAUCAUUAUUUGAAACCAUCCUUAAUAUCAUAUUGCAUAUAACCAUACUAUAAUAAGGUUUUCUUAAUUGUUUUCGGUUGCCCCCACUAGAAGAAAUUUCUGGCUCCGUCCCUGAAUGACCUCAGUGUUAACCUAAGUGAUAAAGAAGAAGGCAUAAGCACAUUUUAUCAAUUUCCUAGAAAUUUUCUUCCAGAACGACCUGUUGUAAUGUGAGAUCAUAUUUAUCCCAAUGAUCAUAUUUAAGCCAUUCAUAACAUCUGGAUUGCCUGACUUUCCAAGGGCAAAAAUGCUACCCUCUUUGAUACCAAUAUCUGCCGUAUAUAUCCCACUAUAAUCAAAGAUCACAGCAUUAGUUAUAACCGUAUCCAAUCAGCUGGGAGUUCCCAGAUGACUGGCCCAUUCCUUCUCUAAUAACUUUACCACCUCCAAAUACCGAUUCAUCCCAUAAGCAGUAAAAUCCUUUUCAAUUUCAGCAAACAAGUUGGUAUCACCAAGCCCAAUUUUAUCCCACCUUCACUGCAAAAUUAGUACUGAGGUAAGGCAUCUCCAAUUUUUCCUUAAUCAUCUUAGUGAACUAGCUAAAAAUCAUGCAACUUUAUUGACCUAACAAAACUGAAGCUAAGAGACAAAUAAACAUUUCUCAGGAGGAAAGCCUCGACCUAACUUUUGGUUCUUCCUCACGUCCAAAUUCUCUCGCUUGUAUAGUUUCCAUGACUUCCUUUAGUUUGCCAUCAUCUACUGAACCAUCCACAAUGUCACUUCCUCCUCUGAUUACUCUUUUACCUCUUACAAGUGGGACAUGUUUGCUUUUCCCCCGGCUGGCACAAGAAAACAAGCACCCAAAUUAUUGAUUUAAAAGAUGAAGGCCAAAUUAUUGACAUCCUUGCUAGACUUUGAUCAGAAUAAUAUAUGAUAGGCUAACAUAAGUACUAAAGUGUCAGAAAAUUUUAAGUUUAGGUAGGAAACUAUGAUUAAAUAAAUAAGACUAGUAGGGUAUGAAUGUCACAAUGCGUGAAAGUAAAAGUAUCCCCUCAUAGACACAAAAUGUAUCACCCUCAUAGACAAAAAGUGUAUCAGAACCAAAAAAAAAAGUGCAUCACCCAAAACCAAAAAAAAGUGCAUCACCCAUGACAAAAUAUAUCCCUCAUAGACUAAAAGUAUCCCCCACAUAAUAAGUAUCCCGAGUAUCCCCCUUAUAGACAAAAUGAACCCCUUAUAGACUAAAAGUAUCCCCCCCCCCCCAAUUCUUAUUUAAUCCCUUCCUCUCCCACCCCACCCCCCAACACACCGCCAACUCAGCUCCCGUUUCUUACUUCUCCCCUUCUUCUCCCAGCUGACCACCAUUAUGGCGGACGAUGAAAAUCAAAACCCUCCUCCAAAUUCACCUCCGAAUCCGCAAACACACCUAACCCUGACCAUCCUCUUGGCCUUAGCUACCAUUAUGUUUCCCCUCGGGGUGGAUCCGACCUACUUUGUCAUACCUCCCUCCGUCGAUCCGGCUAGUUGCGAGUGCAAACUGAAUAACUGCCCAUGCCUUCCCCCUUUCUACAUUUUCUCUGUCAUGACCACGGCAGCGCUGUCUGUUGUUUGGUUUGGACUUUUGUUCUCUCCGCCCAACUUCUACACCGCUUCGUUAUCUGGGUAGGGCUUGGCUUAGUGUGGGCUACCUACUGGCUCGCAUUGCGUGGCAUCCUCGCACCCCAAUUUUAUAAUCCAAUGCUUUAUUCCUUCAAUCCUCUUCUGGUGGUCCUAUUGUUGCUUAACCUAAGAUUUCGAAAUGUCCGAGAUCACGCUAUCCAUGUCCUAUCUUACAACUGGGUUCGUGUGAUCUACGUCAUAUCUCACAAUUGGGACCACGCGACCCAUGUCAUAGCUGACAUCUGUGUUCUAUUUUGGAACUAUAUCACAGAAAACUAUUAAAAUUUGGGUAUUUAAAGUCUCUUCAUACUUUUUUGCUUUUUUCUUAUAAUUUUUUUUUUCUCAGAAUUACCAUUUCUUGAUUUAUGUGUGUUGGGACAUAUUAAGCUUUUGAGGUUUUAACUCAAUAGUUAGUUUAAAACCCAAGCGAUUGGUGUUUUCUUCUAAUAGUUACUUUAUAGAAAAAUCGUUUUAAUUAAUUCAUGUUUAUAUUUUAGGGUAUAUUUCUGGCCUCAAAAUUAUUAAUACAGAUAUUUUACGUGUAUACACAUUAAAAAAAAAAAAACUCUCAAACAACACCUAUACACCACACGUGUUCUAUAUUUUACUAAAUUAUGAUUUGCGUAUAUAUAAUAUACGAGUUGUUGAUGUUACUCAACAAAAUACACUGAAAAAUUACAAUUGCGACAACUGGCAACAAAAAAUUAGGCAAACUACAACUAAACCAAUGUUUGUUAAGUUGCUUAUUUCUUUUGUUUUUUGUCUGAGUAUCUUAUUAAUAAUUAUUUUCACUUCCAUUGUUAUUUUCAGAUCAGUAGAACGAUGGAGAGAGAGAGAGAGCUAGUUAUCAGCAAAAUGCAUGGUCCAUUCUUCUUCUACAAUAGUCGUCUUUUCCUACUAGUUACGUUUUUAUAUUCGUAUCUCUCCAUGCAAGACUUGUCAUAUUUAUUCAGGGCAUGUAAUUUUAAUAAUUUGGAUCUCUCCAUGUAAGACUUGUUAUAUUUAUUCAAUGGCAUGUAAUUUUAAUAUUUUUGAACUCUAUGUAUGAAUUGCUAUGCUUAUUUGGUCAAGUGUGAAAUUUGAUUUUAAUAUUUGUGUAAGUGUAAUGUUUAUUGAAUAUUUGUGUUCAUUAAAUUAUCCUCUCUCGUUAAAUAUAUAUCGUCAUAUAAAAAAUCAUCAUAUAUCAUAAUCCGCUAAUACUUAAACGGGCCUUAUGUCUUGUUAAAGAAUAAUGUAUUACAUAUUUGUACUAUAAUUUGUACCGAUUUUUAAUAAAAAUAAAGUCCACCAACGCAAGUAAAUCUAUCUCUCUUAGGGCGUGUUUACAUAAGGGUAAUGGGAAUAAAAAAGGGGAAUUGAAUUCCGAUUACAGAUUACUCCGACGUUUACUAAAUACUAGGGAAUCAAUAGUGUGGUGGACCCCACUCGAAACAAGAAAUGCAAUUCAUGAAAUUGGAGGAGUGGGAUUCCUUGGAUAGAUGAGGUAUUUGAAUUCCAUGAGGGUGAAAGAAUUAGGAAUGCAUUUUUUUCUUUCUAUUAUGCCCUCAUUCACAUUAUGCACAACUUCAUGCUCAUUCAUAUUAUGCACAACUCCAUACACAUGCCGAAGAGAAUAAACUACAAUUUAAGCAAGAAAAUUUAAAUAUUAAAGUAAAUACUUAUAUUUAUAAAAAAAUAAACAAAAACAUUUUAGUGUGUCUAUGAAAUAGAAAAGCAAUUUAAUUUUUUUUUCCUCUUACUAUUAUAUAUUAUAUCAAAUUUUAUGAAAAAAAAGUAUAUAAAAUAUUUGAUUUGGGACAAGGACAUUUUAGUAAUCAUAUUGGUUUAUAUUCCGAUUCUGUUGAAUUAGUAAACAACUUUAUGGAAUUAGUGUCAUUUCUAUUCCGAUUCCAGAAUAUUUAAGCAAACAGUUUCAAUAGGAAUCUGAUUCUGACUUUUCCUCAUUCCAACUCCUUCUCAAUUCAAUUUCUCAUAUUUUCAUUACAGUUACGUAAACGUGUCAUUUAAGUAAUUCUAAUCUUAUGCGCCUAAAAAAGAAUGUGCCCUCUCCAAUCUUGUGACACUUGUCUACUCACUUAACCCAACUUAACGAGAGAUUUUUCAAUGUGACCGUCACACGAGAUGGUACACCACUUGUUCUUAUAUAAAUAAUGGGACAUAUAUAUUAAAAGUUUAAUAACUUAAAAAUUAAAAAAUUUCACCACUUACAUAAAAACCGUGUUGAACCACCCGAGUUUCCAUCACACCUGAGAAUUUCUCCAACUUAACACUGUCAAGUCUCUCUGUUAUCACCUCGACGCUGCCAUCUCCAUCUCCAAACUGCCGCAAUUCAAACCCAGAAAAGAAAAGCCACGCUCCCAUCCCACCACCACCAUCUCCAAAUUCCGGCGAAAAGAUAACUCUGCAAAAGCCUCUGCACUAACAGAGGACUGUUCUACUAAAUCCUCUCCCAAAUUCCCAUGAAACAGAUGGCGAAGGCGAAGGCGAGUUCGAAGCCUUCACCUCCCUUUUAUUCUUCGCAUUCUCCAUGGUUUCUUCUUUGAACGCUCGAAUGUCUGCAAUGCAAGCGGUUUCUACAAGGAUUUGCAGCAAUCCCAUCAUCAUUUUCAGGUUGGCACCGCCGCGAUGCCUGAUUCAAGAAGUUGAGGUUCGAAAACGGUGCACUCGCUGAAUCAAUUUCAUCGAUUUUGUCUCCAAUCUUGUAAAUUUGUUUAUUUGUGAUUGAAUGAUUGGGUUGGGAAUCAUUAUCCUCUGCAAAUUUGUAAAUUUAUUUUAUCUAUUACAUUCGCACUCUUGUAAACCACGGAGAGGGCACUGGGAGUUGUUUCAACAGCCAGGUAACCGCCAUUGUUGUUGUUGGUGUUCCUGAUCCAAGGAGAGAGAGUGACGCUCGCUCGGGGAGCAUUCAUGUUUUGGACGCUUGGGAAAUUUUUUAUCUUUCUAAUUUAUUUACAAGGUGAAGGAGAUAACAACAAUUUAACACUGUUAAAUGGGUGCACAGAUUUCACAAAACUAUUAAAGCCAUGGAGAGGCUAGGGUGCAGAAAAUUUGAACUCAAAUGGUACAAAUACGUGGUAAGAGUAGCAUUUUUGCUUAUUAAACGAUUUCUUGUGUAUCCUACUUUUCCUUGCAAACGAGUGCUGUCUCGUGUCUGGCAUUCGCAAUGUCGCAUUUUGCCCCUAAGGAAAUCAAAAGCUCGCACAGCGUUGUGUGGCCUUCUCUUCCUGCUAACAUCAACGGAGUGUAUCCAUUGGCAUCAGAAGCACAUCAGAGCCCCUGCUUCUCAAUGUAUGAACAAAAUCUGUGGCGCUGUGUUGUACUGCCUGAUGGAGAGUCCCAUAAAACUCAACAGGACUAUCAAGUACCUUUUGAGGUGCAGCAUUCUAAAGUAACAACUUUUCAAAUUCUGCACUGUUUUGAUUUGUAUCGAACAGUUCCAUUACCGUCUGACCACGUUUAUUCUGCAGGUUUAUGUCAGCCCCAGCGUUGAUAAGCAAUUUGAAACUUUCCAGGUAACCGCCCUCUGCAGAUAUCAUGGCAGCUGAGUAUCCCUUUUCAUCUUGCUCAUUGAGAUCAACGUCUGCCCCCUCAAUCAGUUUCUUCGAAGCCUCAACAUCAUUUGCUUGAGUCACAAGCACUAGAGGAGAAAAUAUUGAUGUAUGGCUGGAGUCACUAUUUUCUCUUUUAAGACAAGCGUGCAUAUGUUAUAUUGUCAUGAUCAAAUAGCUCAACAGAGUCAAGUUAUAUGAAUUUAUGGUAUCUACUCCCUCCUGGGUUCAAAGAUCUUUCGUUAUCCACUGGCCGACAACAUACAAGUUCAGAAAACUCCAGAAAGGGGUAAUGGAUGGUGGAAUCGUGAUGAUCUGUGCACUCUUGGCAAGGAGAGGACUUAAUAGAUCCUUGCGGCUUGAACCCAGGAGCAUGAGAUCAUUGCGGCUAUGCUAAAGUGUUGUUCCUUUUUAUUACAAGCGAGAGUUUGGAUCCGAGACACUGUUUGAAAAUUAAUUGGAAAGAGAGAGGGAUUGCUCUGUGGGUAAGCUUUGAGUGUUGAAUGCCAUUACCUUAUAUUUUUGUAAAUAUACAAAUAUUCUCCCCUUCUCCAUGCCACAAUACUACUCCCUUAAAUAAAAGUAAAAGAUACGGUAGAUUGAUGAGAUUAGUGACACACAUUCUUUUUUCUUCUCUCUCUCUCAUUGGUCCUCAAUUGAGGAUUUUUGGUAUUGUUAUAUAUAAAAGUACUGAAUAAGCUCAUUUCUUUUCUUUACGAGCACGAAGUCGUUUCCUAGCUGCCUGUAUUAUACUCUCACGAUCAUCAGGAACUGCUGCAACAUCCACUUUCUUUGGCAAAUCAGAAAGAUUUCCCUCCAGCUGCUCUUCAAUAUGACCGAUCCUGCCACUGCAUAAAAGGUUAAAGGUUCAAUCUCUGCAAUGUUCAUAUACUACCUUGAAUUAGAAACAAAUCAUUUUCUACUUAUAAUGGUAGUUCUAUGCAAACUGGCUUCACCUCAGCUUCUUGAUAUCUAGAUUAUUUACUUUGUCCAAAAUGGGUGUGACCCAAGCAAUAUUUACAGCACAUACAAUGCGCAGGAAUGGGCGGGUUGUUGAAUGAGUUCAGGUACACAACAUAGUCACUUCAUCAUCUGGUUUAUGCAAAGAGGAUGGAUGCACCGGAAAUAAAAGUAUUUGUGAGUGUCAAUUCUAGACUUGCAAAAGACUCACUACUCAAACCUUUGCCUAAUUCUAGUGAGAUAUGCCUAGCCACGAUCAAUUUCCAGCUCAAAGUUUCUCGUUUUCCUUUCCCAGUUUAAGUAACUUAAGUGGUCGAUCGGUGCUUUGAUAAACCAGAAAUGCAUAAUGAUAAUCUCAAUCCAAUUUUGUUCCAUAAAUCACGUACUUUGAGCAUGUUACUUAUUCAGCACUUAUCAGUAUCAGUAGGCUGCAGUAGACCAUUAUAUAUAAGAGCUUCAUGUUAUCAAGUAACAUUCAGGAGAAUAGUCAUUUAGUCAGUUCAUAGCGGUGUUUCGUGAACAUGAUAUAAUUGCAAGCUCUUUAAUAAUGUAGCUUACUCGCCUUUUGCUAUUUUCUGCAUGAUUUUAGAUAGCUGUUUUCUCACAUAACAAGCAAAUACUAGAAUCAUGUCGCCAAUGCCCUGAAUAUAUCAGGUUUUUCUUAUACAGAAUAUAAAAAAGGUGCCUACAACUGAUAAUCCUUGCACCAAUCAAUGUCAUAGUCAGUUUGAUGCCAGCACUCAUAUAUCUGUAGCAACUGGAUAUGAUCACCCCAGCCAGAACCAUCAGGAAGGUCCAAAUAUUCAUGCUUCCUCCUCUUCUCCCUACUUUUUCUACAGAAGGAGGCAUGCUCAACGAUAAUCAUCUCAAACUAAAUAUUCAUACUUCAAGGGCCUCGUGGAAAGUGCAGAGGUCCACAAAUAUCUUUCUAAUGUUUAGAGGUACGCAACUUAAACCAUAUAUAUGUGUGGUAAUGUAUGUGUGCAGAUGCGUGCGCAUUUAGUUCGACCUAUGAUAUUUGAGUACUUUUCAGAUUCUCAGAACACAACGCAUGCUAUUAACUUUCACAACAUACAUAUAGGAACCUUCUUCUGGGAAAAAUUUAACGAGCUUACCUUCGACCAGGAAGCAAUGUGGUUUCUGUUAGGAUAUAGCUAUGCCAUGUGUCAUAAUUGUAUUGGAGGUUGUGAAUGUUAGUCAUAAGGUGUGUUGUAUUUAUAAGAGAUUAGUUUUGUCAUAAACAUAAGGAAAUAUAACAAGAUUAUUUUUCCCUCUCUACUUUCUCUCUCUAUCUCUCUGUUCGAUAUCUUCUUCUCUAAGUUUCUUCCAUAUAAUUGGUUUGUUAACAUGGUAUCAUCGCCGGCAAUGGCUAACGCCGUCGCCUGACGAUCCCGGUGCUUCCGCGUCUCUUCGUUUUUGCUCCGGUGGUUUUCACUUGUUCGCCGGAAGUUGAUUGGUCGUUUUUUGGGCCUGUUCGUGGACUCUGGUGAAUCUUGGUUACUGAAACCCUAGAAUUUUGGUGUUUUCUUAACUGGGUUAGUAGAAGUCGGUUGUUCUUCUUGCAGUCGUUGUUGUUGUUGAUCGUUGUCUUGGCUGGAGGUAUUGGUCGAAUUUCUUACCUUCUUGUUCAGAUUCGUGUGGUGAUUUUGUUGAACUUCUUGUUGCUAUUCUGUUGAAUUGUGUGGUAUUCUCUUCAAAAUUGAAUUGGGUUGGAGAUUUCUGUUAAUUGUUGGUUCUUGAUUACUUCUGAUUGACGCACGAAUCGUUGUGUGGUGAUUAAGCAGUUUUUGAUUACGUGAUUAACCAGUUCUUGAUUACUUUUAUUUUCUAUAAAGAUUGUUGUUUCUUGAUUAAGCAUGGUGACCACAGCCCAAUUAGCUCUUACACAGUCUCCUAUUUCUUCCCUAAUACCAAGUGUUGGUAAUACUGUCACAGUCAAGUUAAAUGAUUCUAACUAUAUCACAUGAAAUUUUCAACUUGAAUUACUGUUAAAAGGUAAUGGUAUUAUGGGAUUUCUUGAUGGCUAUAUCUCCUGUCCUGAGAAAUAUACUGCUACUGAAGAUGGCAUUGUGAUUAAUUGCUCUAUCAUAAAUGAUGCCUAUAAAGUUUGGAAGAUUCAUGAUAAAGCUUUGAUGACUCUUAUCACUACUACCUUGUCUCCUGCUGCCCUAUCGAGUGUCAUUAGGUGUCAAAGCUCCAAGGAAAUGUGGAUUAACUUGAAAGAGAGGUUCUCGAGUAUGACUAGAACAAGUAUUGUCCAGAUGAAAAUUGAUCUGCAGACUAUUAAGAAAAGGGCUGAAUCUAUUAAUCUUAAUCUUCAACGCAUCACAGACUGUAGAGACCAGUUAGCUGCAGUGGGUGUUGUUAUGCCUGAUGAAGAUAUUGUCAUAGUUGCUCUCAAAGGCUUACCAACUGAAUACAACACUAUUAAGGCUGUUAUUCGAGGAAGAGAAAAUCUUGUGUCACUGAAAGAGCUGAGGUCUCAGUUGAAGGCAGAAGAAGCAACCCUUGAAGAAAGUCUUAAACAACCUCUAAUGGCCGCAAUGUAUGCUAAUAGUUCCGGUUCCAUACAUGAGUUUGGAGGGUCAUCUGGUACCAAUCUAGUUCGGGCAACUAUGAUACUGGCUCAUCAUUAUAUCAUGUACCUCAAAUGACCUCAUUUCCUUAAAUGCCACAACUAGCUCAAAUGCCUACCAUGAGUUAUAUGUCUAACAUGGCUCCGGUGAAUCAACUACCUUAACUUCCACAGUUUCAGCCAUUCUCUCUUCAAGCUCCACAUGGUCCUUAUGCAUUUGUGUCUCAAGCAGGAUCUGGCACUUAUAAUAAUUUCAGGGGGCAAAAUUUCAAGUACAAAGGAAAAGGGAAGAAAUUUCACUCAGGUUAUCAGGGGUAUGUUCAAACUAAUGUUCAGUCUCAACCACAAUCUAGUUUUCAAACUACACAACCUUAUAAUCCUAUGUUGAUCUGUCAAAUUUGUGAUAAAAAGGGACACUCUGCACUCCAUUGUUUUCAGCGUGGAUGCCAAACCUGCAAUAGGGUUGGUCACACUGCAGCUAUAUGUUUCGACAUGGGUACUUCUUUUAUGCCCAUGUCUCAGCCUAUGUAUUAGUCUCAACAGUUUCAAGCUUCUGCUUCUGUUCAACAAUAUCAAUCUCCACAGUUUCAGGCUCCUGCUCCAGUUCAACAAAUGCAUCCAUCGUAUGUGCAGCAUCAGAACAUGUCACAACAAGCUACAUCUCCUGUUGCUUUCACUGCAAGAACCAACUUCUCACCUUUUGCACCUCCGCAAGAGUAUUGGCUGCUUGAUUCUGGUGCUACCAAUCACAUGACCUCUGAUCUGUCCUGUCUACAAGCUCUUACCCCAUAUCCAUCCACUGAAACUGUAACUGGGGCUAAUGGUGAAGGUUUACACAUUUCGCAUAUUGGACAGUAUUCUCUUAUUACUCAUUCUUAUAAACUUCAGUUAAAAACAAUGCUUCAUGUUCCACAAUUAUCUCAACAUUUACUUUCCAUGGAUCAAUUAUGUAAGGACAAUAAUUGUCGAUGCAUUGUUGAUGAGUUUUUUGUGUGCAUACAGGACAAGGUCACCAACAAGGUUCUCUUUCAAGGACUGAGUAACAAUGCUGUUUACCUAUUUCCUUUGCUCAAACAACCACAGAUCAAACCUGCUGCUUAUCUUGGCCAGAAAGUUAAUACUACACUGUGGCAUUGUAGAUUGGGUCAUCCAACCAAUUAUGUAGUUAGUAAGGCCGAUAUUUCUUUUCAUUGUCAUUCUGUUCCUCAAACAUGUACCUCUUGCUUACAAGGCAAGUUUACCAAAUUACCAUUCCCAUUAGCAUCAUCUAAGUCCAAUGUACCAUUUGAAGUCAUUCACACAGAUGUGUGAGGACCUGCACCUAUCAUGUCUAUAGAGGGUUAUAUGUACUAUGUGUCUUUUAUCGAUGAAUGUACAAGAUAUACAUGGAUUUUUCCAAUGAUGAAUAAAGCUGCAGUUUGUGAAAUCUUUAUUCAGUUUCAUGCCUUCUUUCAAAAUUCAUUUUCUGUCAAUAUCAAAGUCUUACAAAGUGAUGGUGGUGGAGAGUUUGUUGGAUCUGUGUUUCAAAAGUUUCUUAGAACCAAAGGUAUAUUGCAUCAAAAGUCUUGUCCCUAUACCCCUGAACAAAAUGGGUUGGUUGAGAGAAAAAAUCGUCACAUAGUUGAAAUUGCUCUUACUUUACUACAAAAAGCCUUUCUUCCUUCACAGUUUUGGUUUCAUGCUUGUGCCACAGCCACGUUUAUUAUCAAUAGAAUGCCUACACCUGUUUUACAUAUGCAAUCCCUAUUUGAAAUGUUAUAUCACUCUCCACCUAGGCUUGAUCAUUUAAGGGUAUUUGGGUGUGCAUGUUACCUUACUUUAAAACCCUAUAGACAUAACAAGUUGGAACCAAAAACUACACAGUGCAUAAUUCUGGGUUAUGCAGCUCAGUACAAAGGAUAUAUUUGCUAUGCUAUCCGAGACCAUAAACUCAUUGUCUCUAGGCAUGUUGUGUUUGAUGAAGAUACAUUUCCUAGCUUACCAGAUUCUGUCUAUAGUUCACUAUCAUUGGCACCGCCUAUUAUACCUCAUCCAAAUAACUUUGAGCAUCCAUCCUUUAUUCACAUUCCUUUUCGCCAUAUUCCAUUUCCUUAUUCUUCUUCCCAUACCACUGAUCCUUAUUCUGUUACUCAGUCCUCUUCUUCCAUACCUGGUGAUCUUGUCUCUUCUCAAUGCUUACCUACUGAGGCCACAGUUGCAUAGUAUGUGGAGCAUGUUGAUAUUCAUCCUGAUGUUACUACUUCUCAAGUUCAAGCCCUGCAUCAUGUUCCAGUGUCUCAACUCAAUACACAUCCAAUGCAAACAAGGUUGAAAUCUGGCAUAUUAAAAAAGAAGGCUAUUCUUGCUCAGGUACAAUCUUCAUCUAUCAUUGAGUCACAGUCUUUCAAGGUUGCUGUUAAGUCCUUUGAGUGGAGGCAAGCUAUGGAAGAUGAAAUGGCAGCUCUUGUGAAGCAGAAAACCUGGAGAUUAGUUCAUCUUCCACCUAACAAGAACUUGGUUGGUUGUAAAUGGAUCUAUAAGAUCAAAAGUAAUCCUGAUGGUUCAGUUGCUCGAUACAAGGCCAGGUUGGUAACCAAGGGUUUUUCCCAAGAAGUCGGUCUUAACUAUCAUGAAACUUUCAGUCCCGUCGUCAAGCCAACCACAGUGAGACUUCUGUUGUCCCUAGCUGCUACAAAGCGUUGGAAAUUAAAACAGUUAGAUGUCAAGAACGCAUUUCUUCUUGGUUUUCUUGAUGAAGAGGUGUAUAUGUCUCAGCCACAAGGCUUAAUUGAUCCCGAUCAUCCUGAGUUUGUGUGUAAGUUAGACCGGUCUCUCUAUGGAUUUAAACAAACUCCUCGAGCUUGGAAUGACAGAUUUUCCAGGUUUCUUCUUACCUUGGGCUUUAAAUCCUUAUAUGUUGAUCCAUCUUUAUAUGUGAAACAUAAUGGUCAGUCUAUUGUUGUACUGUUAUUAUAUGUUGAUGAUAUAAUCCUCAGUGGUGAUUGUGAUACUCAAGUUCAAGCUGUCAUACAUCAGUUAACAGCUGAAUUUGAUAUGAAUGACCUAGGGAUUUUACACUAUUUCCUUGGUCUUCAAAUUCAUUAUUGCCAUACCGGUUUCCUUGUGCAUUAAACCAAGUAUAUUACUAAUCUUCUUACUAAGACAAACAUGCUGGAUAGCAAACCGUGUUCAACUCCUCGUCAUCCAAAUCAGAAGCUGCUGAAUCAUGGUAGUCCUCCUUUCCAUGAUCCGGGUAUCUAUCGCAGCAUUGUUGGUGCUCUCCAAUAUUUGACAUUUACAAGACCGGAUAUUGCGUACUCGGUCAAUCAAGUUUGUCAAUUCAUGCACCCACCUCUGGAUAGUCGUUUCAUUGUUGUUAAACGGAUCUUGCGGUACCUACGAGGGUCCAUGAAUCUUGGCUUGUGUUUUCAACCUAGAAAUCUGGAUAUUAAAGCAUAUACGAAUGCCGAUUGGGCUGAGGAUCCUAAUGACAGGAGAUCCACCACGGGUUUUGUGGUAUUCCUGGGCACUAAUCUUGUCUCUUAGAGUUCUAAGAAGCAGCACACGGUUAGUCGAUCAUCUACCGAGGCUGACUAUCGUGCUAUGGCGACAACAACUGCUGAGGUGGUUUGGUUACAACAAAUACUCAAGGACUUGCAUCUUCCCUGUUCAGAAGUUCCUCUUCUACACUGUGACAACAUUUCUGCUAUGGCACUGGCAACAAAUCCGGUUUUACAUUCUAAAGCUAAACAUAUUGAAAUCGAUUGUCAUUUUGUUCGAGAACGUGUUCAACAAGGUUCCAUUAUCUUGCAAUUUGUUGCAUCCUCAGAGCAGCAUGCUGACAUCUUUACCAAGGGCUUAUGUUAUCCUAUGUUUAGCUCACAUUGUAACAAUCUUAUGCUUGGUUCUUCCCUGCAUAAGCUUGAGGGGGAAUGUUAGGAUAUAGCUAUGCCAUGUGUCAUAAUUGUAUUGGAGGUUGUGAAUGUUAGUCAUAAGGUGUGUUGUAUUUAUAAGAGAUUAGUUUUGUCAUAAACAUAAGGAAAUAUAACAAGAUAUAUUUUUCCCUCUCUACUUUCUCUCUCUAUCUCUCUGUUCGAUAUCUUCUUCUCUAAGUUUCUUCCAUAUAAUUGGUUUGUUAACAGUUUCUACAGAUAACAUAGCAGCAACAGUCAAAGCCUGGGAUAAUCAGCCAUACUCAUUUGCCUCCACUUAGGUCUUUGACAAUGAAGGUUCUAGCGGAAGCUCCACAAAAAAUCAAGGAAAUACUUGGCAGACUCAUCAAAGAUUUAAAAGGAAAAUGAUCAAUGUGCUCAAAACCAAUGGGGAAUCGCUUCUAACAGAUGGUACAGGAACAAAAAGCCCAAGUAGGAAUGAGUUGCAAAACUUUUGUGAAUACAUAUCUGACACUUCUAUUACAGUGCAGCCAAGGUUAUGAUGGAUGUAUAAUAUUUUAAGACUUAAGUUGGUACGCAAUAUUAAGACUCAAGCAAUUUGCAAAAGAAUAAGUGUCUAGGAAUUGCGUUAUAAAAAAUAAACUGUAGAAGGGUAUAUUUAUAUGAGUCAAGGAGAAGACCUUUUAUAAUAGAAUCCUCAUUAGACCUGGAAAUCCCAAAGGAUAUCUAGGAAGUAGAUAUUGCAGAAUGUGAUUACUUGCAAGGCACGUCAAUUCUUAUCAUUGUCAAUAAUGUUAAAUGUAUCUCCAACAAAUUAGCGAGUUAAGUCAUUUUCUACUCAAUAAUUCCCCACAAACUAUUGAUCCAUGAGUCAAAUUAAGUUUUAUGAACAGUGGCUAGUAAUUUAGAAAGAAAAAAAAAUGACUUUAGUCAAAUCUUUAUUAUCUCUACCAUCUCUUGUGAGGGAAAGUGAUCAUCUCCGGAUUCUUUCU
This 26463-nucleotide long non-coding RNA is filed under the name Malus domestica (apple). RNAcentral's name for it is "long non-coding RNA (MDOM_LNC016123)". Lineage: Eukaryota; Viridiplantae; Streptophyta; Magnoliopsida; Rosales; Rosaceae. The record is from RNAcentral.